Molecule: ribosomal RNA, 396 nt
Filed under: uncultured bacterium
Lineage: Bacteria
Description: partial 16S ribosomal RNA
Rfam family: Bacterial small subunit ribosomal RNA
Source: RNAcentral
AUACGUAGGUGGCAAGCGUUGUCCGGAAUUAUUGGGCGUAAAGCGCAUGUAGGCGGUAAUUUAAGUCUGUCGUGAAACUGCGGGGCUCAGCCCCGUAUGGCGAUGGAAACUGGGUUACUUGAGUGCAGGAGAGGAAAGGGGAACUCCCAGUGUAGCGGUGAAACGCGUAGAUAUUGGGAAGAACACCGGUGGCGAAGGCGCCUUUCUGGACUGUGUCUGACGCUGAGAUGCGAAAGCCAGGGUAGCGAACGGGAUUAGAUACCCCGGUAGUCCUGGCCGUAAACGAUGGGUACUAGGUGUGGGAGGUAUCGACCCCUUCCGUGCCGGAGUUAACGCAAUAAGUACCCCGCCUGGGGAGUACGGCCGCAAGGCUUAAACUCAAAGGAAUUGACGGGG